CCCUUAGAUGUCCUGGGCCGCACGCGCGCCACACUGAGUGUCUGAGAUACGAGUCUGCCUAGCCGGCGAGGUCUAGGUAAUCGCUGAAAGACACAUCAUGCUUGGGAUAGAUUAUUGCAGAUAUUAAUCUUGAACGAGGAAUUCCUAGUAAGCGCAAGUAAACAGCUUGCGUUGAUUACGUCCCUGCCCUUUGUACACACCGCCCGUCGCUACUACUGAUUGGAUGUUUAAGCGAGGUUCUCGAACUGCUAGCGACUUAGCUUCGGUGAGGUCGCCGUGUGGGAAGUGAACCUAGCUUUGGUGUCUAGAGGAAGUAAAAGUCGUAUCA
RNAcentral lists this ribosomal RNA (328 nucleotides) under uncultured eukaryote. RNAcentral describes it as "partial 18S ribosomal RNA". It matches the Rfam family "Eukaryotic small subunit ribosomal RNA", at positions 1470 to 1796 of the family's 1831-position model. The record is from RNAcentral.